This 274-nucleotide ribosomal RNA is filed under the name uncultured bacterium. RNAcentral describes it as "partial 16S ribosomal RNA". It matches the Rfam family "Archaeal small subunit ribosomal RNA", at positions 473 to 747 of the family's 1478-position model. The record is from RNAcentral.
AAACCAGCACCUCAAGUGGUCAGGAUGAUUAUUGGGCCUAAAGCAUCCGUAGCCGGCUCUGUAAGUUUUCGGUUAAAUCUGUACGCUCAACGUACAGGCUGCCGGAAAUACUGCAGAGCUAGGGAGUGGGAGAGGUAGACGGUACUCGGGAGGAAGGGGUAAAAUCCUUUGAUCUCUCGAUGACCACCUGUGGCGAAGGCGGUCUACCAGAACACGUCCGACGGUGAGGGAUGAAAGCUGGGGGAGCAAACCGGAUUAGAAACCCCAGUAGUCC